GCUGGGUGCAGUGGUGCAUGCCUGUAAUCCCAGUGGUUUGGGAGGCUGGGGCAGGAGGAUCACAAGUUCAAAGCCAGCUUCAGCAAAUUAUUGAGGUCUUAAGCAACUUAAUGAGAACCUGUCUCUC
Molecule: small RNA, 127 nt
Filed under: Marmota monax (woodchuck)
Lineage: Eukaryota; Metazoa; Chordata; Mammalia; Rodentia; Sciuridae
Source: RNAcentral